RNAcentral lists this ribosomal RNA (1447 nucleotides) under Limosilactobacillus reuteri. RNAcentral describes it as "bacterial SSU rRNA". It matches the Rfam family "Bacterial small subunit ribosomal RNA". The record is from RNAcentral. Lineage: Bacteria; Bacillati; Bacillota; Bacilli; Lactobacillales; Lactobacillaceae.
ACAUGCAAGUCGUACGCACUGGCCCAACUGAUUGAUGGUGCUUGCACCUGAUUGACGAUGGAUCACCAGUGAGUGGCGGACGGGUGAGUAACACGUAGGUAACCUGCCCCGGAGCGGGGGAUAACAUUUGGAAACAGAUGCUAAUACCGCAUAACAACAAAAGCCACAUGGCUUUUGUUUGAAAGAUGGCUUUGGCUAUCACUCUGGGAUGGACCUGCGGUGCAUUAGCUAGUUGGUAAGGUAACGGCUUACCAAGGCGAUGAUGCAUAGCCGAGUUGAGAGACUGAUCGGCCACAAUGGAACUGAGACACGGUCCAUACUCCUACGGGAGGCAGCAGUAGGGAAUCUUCCACAAUGGGCGCAAGCCUGAUGGAGCAACACCGCGGAGUGAAGAAGGGUUUCGGCUCGUAAAGCUCUGUUGUUGGAAAGAACGUGCGUAGAGUAACUGUUCACGCAGUGACGUAUCCAACCAGAAAGUCACGGCUAACUACGUGCCAGCAGCCGCGGUAAUACGUAGGUGGCAAGCGUUAUCCGGAUUUAUUGGGCGUAAAGCGAGCGCAGGCGGUUGCUUAGGUCUGAUGUGAAAGCCUUCGGCUUAACCGAAGAAGUGCAUCGGAAACCGGGCGACUUGAGUGCAGAAGAGGACAGUGGAACUCCAUGUGUAGCGGUGGAAUGCGUAGAUAUAUGGAAGAACACCAGUGGCGAAGGCGGCUGUCUGGUCUGCAACUGACGCUGAGGCUCGAAAGCAUGGGUAGCGAACAGGAUUAGAUACCCUGGUAGUCCAUGCCGUAAACGAUGAGUGCUAGGUGUUGGAGGGUUUCCGCCCUUCAGUGCCGGAGCUAACGCAUUAAGCACUCCGCCUGGGGAGUACGACCGCAAGGUUGAAACUCAAAGGAAUUGACGGGGGCCCGCACAAGCGGUGGAGCAUGUGGUUUAAUUCGAAGCUACGCGAAGAACCUUACCAGGUCUUGACAUCUUGCGCUAACCUUAGAGAUAAGGCGUUCCCUUCGGGGACGCAAUGACAGGUGGUGCAUGGCGUCGUCAGCUCGUGUCGUGAGAUGUUGGGUUAAGUCCCGCAACGAGCGCAACCCUUGUUACUAGUUGCCAGCAUUAAGUUGGGCACUCUAGUGAGACUGCCGGUGACAAACCGGAGGAAGGUGGGGACGACGUCAGAUCAUCAUGCCCCUUAUGACCUGGGCUACACACGUGCUACAAUGGACGGUACAACGAGUCGCAAGCUCGCGAGAGUAAGCUAAUCUCUUAAAGCCGUUCUCAGUUCGGACUGUAGGCUGCAACUCGCCUACACGAAGUCGGAAUCGCUAGUAAUCGCGGAUCAGCAUGCCGCGGUGAAUACGUUCCCGGGCCUUGUACACACCGCCCGUCACACCAUGGGAGUUUGUAACGCCCAAAGUCGGUGGCCUAACCUUUAUGGAGGGAGCCGCCUAAG